This is an RNA transcript of Diceros bicornis minor, 1266 nucleotides long. It is a transcript of the gene named RAB4B, member RAS oncogene family, with no coding region annotated. The record is from RefSeq and is a predicted model, not a curated record. Lineage: Eukaryota; Metazoa; Chordata; Mammalia; Perissodactyla; Rhinocerotidae. The transcript has 9 exons.
CGCGGCGGAGGGGGUUGGAGGCGGAAGUGGCGGCGCCGGGCCCCGGGAGUAGGAAGGAGCCGGGGCUGCAGCCGGAGUGGAGCGGCUGCCAGCCGAGGAACAGGCGCGGCCGCGGCGCCAUAUUGCGGCCCCCAGCGGCCGCGACCGAGUCAUGGCCGAGACCUACGACUUCCUCUUCAAAUUCCUGGUGAUUGGCAGUGCAGGCACCGGCAAAUCAUGUCUCCUUCAUCAGUUCAUUGAGAAUAAGUUCAAACAGGACUCCAACCACACGAUCGGCGUGGAGUUUGGAUCCCGGGUGGUCAACGUGGGUGGGAAGACUGUGAAGCUACAGAUUUGGGACACAGCUGGCCAGGAGCGGUUUCGGUCGGUGACACGGAGUUACUACCGAGGGGCAGCUGGAGCCCUGCUGGUGUACGACAUCACCAGCCGGGAGACUUACAACUCGCUGGCUGCCUGGCUGACGGACGCCCGCACGCUGGCCAGCCCCAACAUCGUGGUCAUCCUCUGUGGCAACAAGAAGGACCUGGACCCGGAGCGUGAGGUCACUUUCCUGGAGGCCUCCCGCUUUGCCCAGGAGAACGAGCUAAUGUUCCUGGAAACCAGCGCUCUCACUGGCGAGAACGUGGAAGAGGCUUUCCUGAAGUGUGCUCGCACCAUCCUGAACAAGAUCGACUCAGGUGAGCUGGACCCUGAGAGGAUGGGCUCAGGCAUUCAGUACGGUGACGCUUCCCUUCGCCAGCUGCGGCAGCCUCGGAGCGCCCAGGCCGUGGCCCCUCAGCCCUGUGGCUGCUGAGACCUGUGGAGCCAGGGUCCCUCUGACUGCAUGUAGAGGAGAGACUGUGGGGGGCAGGAGGCCAGUGAGGAGGCCACUGCAAAGUCAAGCUCACCUGUUCUCCAGGACCAGCCCUGCCCUUCCGGCUGGGGCCCUGAUCCAGGCCCCAGGAGGCCAAGCCCCUCACCUGCUCUGGCCCCAGAGAAGCUGCCCCGCCACCUGACCCCCUUCCCUGGCCUGGUGGGGCCUGGCUGAGGGGCAAGACUGAGCCACAGGGGAAGGAGGAAUCCAUACCUGCUGCUGCUUCAUCUGUCUUGGCUAACCCUUGUCCCCCCUGAACCCCUAACCAUACUCGAAGAGUUCCCAAAGCCUGAGACCAAGGCCAUUUGGCCCCAGCUCCCUGCCUGGUCCUGGCGUUGCGAGUACAUGUUAUUUAUUACCUGGAGACCUGUCCCGUCCCCACCCCUCCCCCAUAAAGCAUUGUUUACACCUGU